Ciona intestinalis (vase tunicate) is the source of this 228-nucleotide non-coding RNA. The record is from RefSeq and is a predicted model, not a curated record. Lineage: Eukaryota; Metazoa; Chordata; Ascidiacea; Phlebobranchia; Cionidae.
GAACAUGACACCACCUCGUAGCUGUUUAUAAUCUGCCAACUUAUCUCUUUAGGGAGUUCCCCAGCAUUACCCACGUCAUCAGGGACCCCAAUAACCCCGACUGCAGAGAUUUUUGGAUGUUCGGUUAGGACGGAUUCAAUUUCAACAGAAGACACCUGUUUAGCAAGGUUAAAAAUAUAAGACCCUUGUUGAUUGUUGAAAACACGAUCAGGACGUUUGGAUAUUUUG